AAAAAGGAUUUUCUGAAAUCCAUUAUUAUAUCUUUAAGCAUAAAA
Felis catus (domestic cat) is the source of this 45-nucleotide non-coding RNA. Lineage: Eukaryota; Metazoa; Chordata; Mammalia; Carnivora; Felidae. The record is from Rfam.